CGGGUGAUGUCGUCGGCAGUGGUGCGGCGCGUCGGCGCUGUACGCACGAUCCUGCGGCCCUGGAGAACGCCCCCGGGCGCCACCCGCAGCGAACUGCCCUGCUGAGCGCCAGGCAGAGAGAUGGCGCACCGA
RNAcentral lists this small RNA (132 nucleotides) under Streptomyces sp. CB01580. RNAcentral's name for it is "gntR-DTE RNA". It matches the Rfam family "gntR-DTE RNA". Lineage: Bacteria; Bacillati; Actinomycetota; Actinomycetes; Kitasatosporales; Streptomycetaceae. The record is from Rfam by way of RNAcentral.